Molecule: long non-coding RNA, 688 nt
Organism: Lolium rigidum
Lineage: Eukaryota; Viridiplantae; Streptophyta; Magnoliopsida; Poales; Poaceae
Exons: 2
Source: RefSeq, a predicted model, not a curated record
CCAUCUGCCUUCUAAGUUCUGCCGUCCUCGACCAAGCUGCGAGGCAACGUGUUCGAGCCUUGAGCCCAGAAGCAGGAGGCGGGCGGCCUCUGGCAGAGGUUUUCAUUCUUCUUUCCACACGUUGCAGCGUCGGCAUCUCAUGCUCAAGGUCGGCGGAGCUGAACCGCCAUUGUGCGAGAAACCGAGCCACAUGUGCGGGGGAUGAUCCGUCAGGACUCAGGAUCGAGAUGCCGAAGACAGUGGAUGGCGCCGCUCCAGAUCGACCAGGAGGAGGUUGGAGUGAGGCAGGACAACGAGUCUCAGAUCCGCCAAAAAGAUUCCCGUGUGUACUAGUUGGAGCCAACACGUCAUCUCCACCGCUGGCUACCUUUAGUUGGAGCAGAUUCAAACAUACCCCGGAGGUUGCGUAUCCCGGCAGGAGCCCAGGCGUCCUUCAACAACCGGCUGUCACGUACUAUCGGACCAGUUCGCCAUGGCCGGGCUCUCCUUCGCCACAUGCAGAAUGGCACCGGCAUGGGAUACGACGAAUCCUAGUCUACGUGGGAGAAGAGGAGAGGAGGGUCUAUUUUUUCUGUCGUGCCUCUGCGUUUUGAUCAUCUGCAAUAUGCUGUAUUUACUUAUAGCUGUCAUAUGUUCUUUGUACUUCUCUGAUGUGUAUGAAAUCUUUGGCGAUAUGAGCUGAAAUAAA